RNAcentral lists this ribosomal RNA (392 nucleotides) under uncultured bacterium. Its description in RNAcentral is "bacterial SSU rRNA". It matches the Rfam family "Bacterial small subunit ribosomal RNA", at positions 135 to 518 of the family's 1533-position model. The record is from RNAcentral.
GGAGGGGAACGUAACCCGGCGAAAGUCGGACUAAUACCGCAGUAAAACAGGGGCACCGCAUGGUGAUAUUUGUUAAAGAAAUUCGCGUGAUAGAUGGGCAUGCGUUCCAUUAGGUAGUUGGUGAGGUAACGGCUCACCAAGCCGACGAUGGAUAGGGGAACUGAGAGGUUGGUCCCCCCACACUGGUACUGAGACACGGACCAGACUCCUACGGGAGGCAGCAGUGAGGAAUAUUGGUCAAUGGGCGGGAGCCUGAACCAGCCAAGUCGCGUGAAAAGGAAGAAGGAUCUAUGGUUCGUAAACUUCUUUUGCAGGGGAAUAAAGUGCAGGACGUGUCCUGUUUUGUAUGUACCCUGAGAAUAAGGAUCGGCUAACUCCGUGCCAGCCGCUGC